UACGUAGGGGGCAAGCGUUGUCCGGAUUUAUUGGGCAUAAAGAGCGUGUAGGCGGCCUGACAGGUCUGCUGUGAAAACUCGAGGCUCAACCUCGAGAUGUCGGCGGAAACCGUCUGGCUAGAGUCCGGAAGAGGAGAGUGGAAUUCCUGGUGUAGCGGUGAAAUGCGCAGAUAUCAGGAAGAACACCUAUGGCGAAGGCAGCUCUCUGGGACGGUACUGACGCUGAGGAGCGAAAGCGUGGGUAGCAAACAGG
Molecule: ribosomal RNA, 253 nt
Filed under: uncultured bacterium
Lineage: Bacteria
Description: partial 16S ribosomal RNA
Rfam family: Bacterial small subunit ribosomal RNA
Source: RNAcentral